GAAGCCGACCUCCCGGAAGGGAACAGUGACAGCGCGUUCUGCUUCCGGGUCGCGUGCCCAUGGCCGCCCGGAAGCGGCGACGGCAGGACGCGGCGGCCCCGCUUCCCAGUCUCUAGCCCGCGUCCCACGGGCGGCGCGCACGCAGCCUGUCAGCGUGAGAGAGUCCUUGUUCUCUGAGAGGAAAUGAUAUGAAAGCACCUCAUGUGUCUUGGAGCUGCGAUCUUUGUGUCUGAUUUACUCGUGCAUCCAGUUUGGCAGCCUUCUGUACGGUCUGCCAUGGCAACAGAUUCGACUAUCCCAAUUUGGCAGAACAAACCUUGCGGCUCAUCACGCAGCGUAGUCAGGAGGAUUGGGACAAACCUGCCCUUAAAACCGUGUCCCAGGGCAUCCUUUGAGGUUCUGCCAAAUGUCUCUGAUCUGUACUUAAAUGACAUACCUCCGGUCCCUACUCUGGCAGACAUUGCGUGGAUAGCAGCAGAUGAUGAAGAAACAUAUGCUAGAGUCAGGAGCGACACUCGGCCACUAAAACACAAGUGGAAGCCCAGCCCCUUCACGGUUAUCCAGCGAAACGCCUCGGUCCCCAACUUGAGGAAGCAGGAGGAGAAGCUGCUUGCCUUGAAGAAACCUGGUUUACCUGCCCUGAGUCGGACUACGGAGCUUCAGGAGGAGCUGAGUCACCUGCGGAGCCAAAUAGCUAAAAUUGUAGCUGGUGAUUCAGCAUCUGCUUCAUUAACGCCGGAUCUAUUAUCUCCAGAAAGUUCAAAUGUCUCUUCUCCCUUACCUUGUUUUGGAUCCUCUUUCCAAUCUACAACUUCCUUUGUCAUUAGUGACAUCACAGAGGAGGUGGCAGAACUAGACACUCCCGAGUUCCCCUCGGUGUCCAUGCUUUGUUCUGCAACCUCUCUCGAGUAUUGCAAGCCGGAGCCAAAGGAUCCCGACGAGGAGGAUUCCAUCUCUCUGUCGAAGGCCAGCAGUUUUGCAGACAUGAUGGGCAUUCUCAAAGACAUCCAUCGCAUGAAGCAGAACAAAGAGUUGAAUCGGUGUUAAAACACAGCCCCGGAAGCUGCAGAAAUGAGUAUGAGACACGCUUGCAGAAGUGCAUGUGUCAACGCAUAUCAAAAUAGAGCCCUCUUAAUGUCUGUGAUGCCCUUUGGAAGGGAAUUGUCUGUGUAGUGUGCCUGCUGAUCCUUUCAUUCAGUGUGUGGUUAAAAGCAUGUAGCGUGCGGAUCUGCUUUGAAUGAACCGAACUUUACUGAAGGAGGAAGAUCCAGCUAUUCUCAUUUCAGAAGCGUUGAGGAGAAAGUUUGCUUUAAAGGAUGAAGAUAUAGCUAUGAAAGAGAAGUGACACCACGCUCUAAUUUAACUCCGUAAGCAACAUAUAUCGUGCUCCUGAGAUUUCUCUCCACAGUAGCUGCCUUCCUAAGGAUCAAACUUUUUUGCCUCUUUAAUUAGGAAUUAUAUCUGCACUGGACACUUAUUUGAGAAAGAAACUUUGGAUUUGCAGUGUUUCCACGUAUCUUAAUAUAUAAAAACUUUUUAAGAAAAUGGAAAUUCUUUUCCACCCUAUUUUGAACCGAAGCAUUUUACUGGUGAGGUUCUUCUAACGAGUGAUAUGUGUGUGGCUAGGUGAAGUUUUCCCUCCUCCGUGUGUCUUCCUCUGUGAGUUUAGAUUCAAAUUAAUUAUUCAAGUUAACUAAACUCAUGACAUCCUUGUUGUGGGGUAAUUAGCUACCCAUUUCAGAUAUAAUUGGACAUCAAGCUCCUACUACUUUCCCAGAGAGCCUGGAGCAAGGCUGUCACUGAGAGUAAAUUGCUGCUUCCUUCCUCAUCCUCAGCUCUUUAGGAAGUUUUCCUUUGGCCUGAGCUGGUUAGGAGCUUGUGUCGUUCUCCCCAGAAAAGGAUUCCCUUGCCUAAGUCUUCUUCCAAUUAUUUUCCAGUCCCAAAUGGGACGGGAAGAGUUGAUGUGAAUUUUUGGACUCUUUAAUAAGCUUAAAAAACGUGAGGUUGGUGUCAGCAGGCCAGCGACUAAAAUAUUUUUGUAAUGUUUUAAAGUUCAAGUUGUCCCCGGAGAUCCACGAUAGCAGGCCCACGGCCCGUCCCAAGUCGGCUUCCGUGUUUCACGAACGUGAUCUUUCUAGUCAGAUGAAAUGUAUUUUAUUAACGCAAAUUUCAGCAAGGAUAUAGUUUGAAUACAAUGGCCGGAGCCCACCAGAGCGAGGCGAUUAACACCGCAGGGAACUUGAGGGAGGGGAAAGGGAAGGAGGCUGUUCAAAGGAAGCGGUGAUUCUCACUGGUUGAGAUGUUUUAUUUUGGGUAAAGAUGGUUGUCUGCAACUGUUCCUCACGGCUGUAUUCAGGGUGUGCGAUGUUUCCUUUGUAUAAAUGGAGCCCUAUGCUUGGUCCUCCAAUGAGCCUCGCAGGUGUCCUUAAUGUCCUCAACUUGAGAGCCGGGGGAUCCCUUCUGCCGGCGCUUGCGGCGGGUUCGACACGUCGGUCGCGGAAAGGCCUAGCCCAAAUCAGGCAAUUCCCAGAAGAACGCAUCCUUUUCCGACUGUUGCGGAAGAAGUGACUGGCUCAGCUCGGACAGAACAGCUGAGGGGCGAUGCUGCGCCUGGUUCCUGGAGCGCUCUUCGCGUGCAUGUCGUGGAGGCCUCCACAAGCUGCUCAGUAUCAUUGUCCCGAUGCUAAUGCAGGGGGCUGGGCCCGAUGAUCUGCCGAGGUCCCAUCCAGCCUUGCAAUCUGAACGAAUUCCUGUUAUAGAGGUGAGGAAGCUGAGGCAGAGGUGAAGCAACCUGCUGAAAGUUACCUAACAGGCCAGGAGCUGAACUGGGCAUAUACCCCAGAUUAUCGGUCCCAAUCCAGGACUCUAUCCUUCAGUGCACACUAUCCCCCACAGAGCUUGGCUCCUGCCUGUCAGCAGGGUAAGCUCCUGCCUGGGGCUGGGUUCUGACAUGCCCUUUGUGUGCCUUCCUCUCUUGGCUCCAUUGCCUAAAGCGCAGUCAAAGUAUGCAGGCUACCUGGGCUAAGGUUUAGGGGAUCUGACUUGAAAGUGGAGUAGCUUCCUGUAUAGCUCUGUCUGGGCUUCCUCCAGAACAAAGGUGUCCACAGAAAGGUGUCAGGAAUGAUCCCGUGUCUAGAUACACGCUUAGUAUUGCCUGGAGGGCCAAGAAUCUCUAGUUUAGCAGCAGGCCCUACCAUUUAAAGUGACCAAAAAUAAUUCACUGAGCAGCACUGCAUUCAAAGCAGAGGCAAGGAGCUCCACUCCCUCUGCCCGCUCUCCUUGACGCACCUGGGCCCAAAGGCUCUACCGUGACCCUCCUCCAGAGUUCUCACGGAGCCUAGCUGACCGUGGACCAGACACUUUUGACUGCAGUGAGAGUCUGGCUAACAGCCCAGCGGCGUGGUAUCUCGGGACCUACCGAGGCAUGAGCAGUAGGAGUGACUUCUGCUUGGGCAGGCUACUGGGGUGAACUGGUCUCUCCAGCAGCACCGGCUUUUCUGCAUAGAAGUCGAGAGUGCCAACAAUGGCCGUUAGCAGAACACGUAGGCCUCUCACCCGGGUGGUUUGCGCAAAGGUGUGAUGUUAUUCCCCAGUGAUGGCUCAGCCAGGGAGGAAGCAUGAUCUGUUAUCAAACCUCCACCUGUAGGGCCAGCCAGAAAGCUCCCAUCCCACUGCCCCCCUUACCAGGGAGCCCGCAGGAGCAGCAAUCCCUGCAUUGAGGUUUGGCAUGAGUAACCGUGCUGGUGGGGCUGUCAUACCAUGACAUGGAUGGCAACCAGCCCUGAAGACCUUGGAGCCCCCCCUCCCGUCACAGCCACUUGGAGGGCAGCUUUGGGUGUUUUAACUACCUUUUGAGUCCUGCUAAUGCUAAUGAAGGCAUGGGUCUGGGAGGAGGUCUGCAGGAGCUAGUAGCAGCUGGGCACCUCACAGAUCUUCAGUGCCUUUUUAUAGCAAAUGUGCUUCCCUGUGACUCAGAAUACCAUGCCCUGGCUGAGAGCGAUUGUACUGCAUGAUCUAGUUCACCGAGCUGUCCGAGGGCAGCCGGAGCCACCUAACAAGGAAGCUGCAAACUCCCGGCCCAGAUCAGCUUCCCCACGCCAGGCAUCAGGCCCCAGCUGCAUUAAUCCCAAAGCAAGGGGUGGUUGUCCAUAGCUUGACUGUUUAAAGCCAAGUCUCUCAAUCUUGCCAAUUCCUGCAGUCAGUGACGUCUAGCAGCAUGCUCCAGUCACAGAAACACGGCAUUAAAGCUGGGGGCUGGACCCGAACCCCGCAGGGCAGCUGGUGUCUGAAACCACCGCACAGCGACGUGCUGAGAGAGGUGAGCUCGGCAGCAAGGCUCUGCAGGGUUGUGGAAAUGAUUGUGCUUUUGCUAGUGAAACCUUUCACUGCUGCUUCCAGGAUGCUGCCACACUGCCGAAUGCAAGCAGUACCAGGGCACCGGCAGCGGGUGAAGUCAAUAGGAAGUGUCACAGAUCGCUCCCACCCACACUACAGAGAGCCGGUCCCUGCACGCCGGCCUUGCCAGGAAUGCGGAUGGUCGCUCCCUGCAAAGCCGAGUCGCUCAGCUGCGGGAGGACGGGGCCUGUGUAGGGCAUGUUGCAAGAAAGGAUUACGACAGGCCUGGAUAAAAACACUCUCUUUAUUUGCACAAAACUCUCCUCGUUAAUCCCAGCUCCUGCUUGCUGCACCAUGUGCACGCUGGCGUACUCCUUGCAUCCUUCUUGAAGACAGCAACGCACGGUGCAGACAGCGGAGGGCUUCUCCUGUUCAUUAAACAAUACCAGACCUCCCUGUGCGGCCUGUUCCUAGUUGCGGAUCGGAUGUCUAAUCACUCUGUUCCCUUCCGAGUCCUCUGUGAAGAGCCAGUCCUGGGAUGAGUCUGGGCCCGGGGAGGCCUCCCGUGCCGCUGGGGCACGGGCUCGGGCGCCGUCCCU
This is an RNA transcript of Alligator sinensis (Chinese alligator), 4934 nucleotides long. It is a transcript of the gene named mitochondrial fission regulator 1 like, with no coding region annotated. NCBI's taxonomy places the organism in Eukaryota, Metazoa, Chordata, Crocodylia, Alligatoridae. The transcript is spliced from 8 exons. The record is from RefSeq and is a predicted model, not a curated record.